Non-coding RNA from Pelobates cultripes (western spadefoot toad), 260 nucleotides. Lineage: Eukaryota; Metazoa; Chordata; Amphibia; Anura; Pelobatidae. The record is from the annotation of a GenBank genome assembly.
CAAAUAUUCCCACUACAUCCUCAUCUAAUGCUCAUCAAACAACAAAUGUAUUACAAGUUAAUACACCUAUGAAUGCUUACAUAGCACGUUCAGCCUUUGUCAAUCAUACCCCACUUGUUCAGCCUCCGGACUCCACAAAAGUGUCAACUGGAGGUUUAUCCACCGCUGUCCAAGUUUAUAAAUCCACAAAAGUGUCCACUGGAGGAACAUACAGCAUUUCUGACACUGGAGGAACAUCCAAUGUUCAGCAAACCACCAAG